Molecule: ribosomal RNA, 791 nt
Filed under: Streptomyces sp.
Lineage: Bacteria; Bacillati; Actinomycetota; Actinomycetes; Kitasatosporales; Streptomycetaceae
Description: bacterial SSU rRNA
Rfam family: Bacterial small subunit ribosomal RNA
Source: RNAcentral
CGAUGAACCACUUCGGUGGGGAUUAGUGGCGAACGGGUGAGUAACACGUGGGCAAUCUGCCCUGCACUCUGGGACAAGCCCUGGAAACGGGGUCUAAUACCGGAUACGAGUUUCACAGGCAUCUGUGAUUCUGGAAAGCUCCGGCGGUGCAGGAUGAGCCCGCGGCCUAUCAGCUUGUUGGUGAGGUAACGGCUCACCAAGGCGACGACGGGUAGCCGGCCUGAGAGGGCGACCGGCCACACUGGGACUGAGACACGGCCCAGACUCCUACGGGAGGCAGCAGUGGGGAAUAUUGCACAAUGGGCGCAAGCCUGAUGCAGCGACGCCGCGUGAGGGAUGACGGCCUUCGGGUUGUAAACCUCUUUCAGCAGGGAAGAAGCGAGAGUGACGGUACCUGCAGAAGAAGCGCCGGCUAACUACGUGCCAGCAGCCGCGGUAAUACGUAGGGCGCAAGCGUUGUCCGGAAUUAUUGGGCGUAAAGAGCUCGUAGGCGGCUUGUCGCGUCGGAUGUGAAAGCCCGGGGCUUAACCCCGGGUCUGCAUUCGAUACGGGCAGGCUAGAGUUCGGUAGGGGAGAUCGGAAUUCCUGGUGUAGCGGUGAAAUGCGCAGAUAUCAGGAGGAACACCGGUGGCGAAGGCGGAUCUCUGGGCCGAUACUGACGCUGAGGAGCGAAAGCGUGGGGAGCGAACAGGAUUAGAUACCCUGGUAGUCCACGCCGUAAACGGUGGGCACUAGGUGUGGGCAACAUUCCACGUUGUCCGUGCCGCAGCUAACGCAUUAAGUGCCCCGCC